GGAGGUUGAUUGGCCCAGGCGUGCAGCCAGCCAUUGCCUGUCUGUUCAGGAAGCAGCUCUGAGCUGCCCUAGUGGCUGGACAGCUUCACAGGUAUCCCCGGCCCCUCCCAGUCAGACCCCACAGGAAAACUUGGCUCCCAGUAAGUUACCACUGUCCUGGAAGCACAGAACGGACUUUUCGUGUCCCGCUGUAAGGAAACAAGAUGGUCCUUAAAACCGAAGAGGAGGAUGUUCCCAGUGACCUGACAGCAGAGGAGCGUCAAGAACUGGAGAACAUCCGACGGAGAAAACAGGAGCUGCUGGCUGACAUUCAGAGGCUGAAGGAUGAGAUAGCAGAAGUAGCUAAUGAAAUUGAAAACCUGGGAUCCACAGAGGAAAGGAAAAACAUGCAGAGGAACAAACAGGUAGCCAUGGGCAGAAAAAAAUUUAAUAUGGACCCUAAAAAGGGGAUCCAGUUCUUAAUAGAGAAUGACCUCCUGAAGAACACUUGUGAAGACAUCGCCCAGUUCUUAUAUAAAGGCGAAGGGCUCAACAAGACAGCCAUCGGCGACUACCUAGGGGAGAGAGAUGAGUUUAAUAUCCAGGUUCUUCAUGCAUUUGUGGAGCUGCAUGAGUUCACUGAUCUUAAUCUCGUCCAGGCACUACGGCAGUUCCUGUGGAGCUUCCGGCUACCCGGAGAGGCCCAGAAGAUCGACCGGAUGAUGGAGGCGUUUGCCCAGCGAUAUUGUCAGUGCAAUAAUGGCGUGUUCCAGUCCACGGAUACUUGUUACGUCCUCUCCUUUGCCAUCAUCAUGUUGAACACCAGUCUGCACAACCCCAAUGUCAAAGAUAAGCCCACUGUGGAGAGGUUCAUUGCCAUGAACCGAGGCAUCAAUGAUGGGGGAGACCUGCCGGAGGAGCUCCUCCGGAAUCUCUAUGAGAGCAUAAAAAAUGAACCCUUUAAAAUCCCAGAAGACGACGGGAAUGACCUCACUCACACUUUCUUCAACCCAGACCGAGAAGGCUGGCUAUUGAAACUCGGUAAGUGGCAGGGUAAAGACUUGGAAGAGACGCUGGUUCAUUCUGACUGACAACUGCCUUUACUACUUUGAGUAUACCACGGAUAAGGAGCCCCGUGGAAUCAUCCCUUUAGAGAAUCUGAGUAUCCGGGAAGUGGAGGACUCCAAAAAACCAAACUGCUUUGAGCUUUAUAUCCCCGACAAUAAAGACCAAGUUAUCAAGGCCUGCAAGACCGAGGCUGACGGGCGGGUGGUGGAGGGGAACCACACUGUUUACCGGAUCUCAGCUCCGACGCCCGAGGAGAAGGAGGAGUGGAUUAAGUGCAUUAAGUUCCAGGUCAGCCCAGGAGAGCCAUAGCAGCUGCUGGUGCCACCGCUCAGCAGGGGUGAGUGCCCUGCCUGCAGUCAGGAGGCUUGUGCCCGAGCUCUGGAACAAAUCAUCACUUAGGAUACAGCUUCCCUGGAAAGAAAUUAAGUGUCAGGACUUUUAGACCAUAAGUUGCUUGAAAGUCGAGAAUGGCAGACAUAGGGCUGUGGUGUUGCCAGUCCACUGCAGGUGCUCCAGCCCGCGGCGCAGCCUGCGCUGCUGUCUUUGAGGCUGUAGCACAAGCAUGAGCUCGGGCCCCCUCCCUGUGCACCGGAGACCCAGCCAGGUGCAGCCAGUCUGUCCAUGGUGCCCCACCAGCAGCAUCGUGCCGGGCAGUGCCGCCUGCAGAGUCAUGGAGCCUUAGUUACUGAGCAGGUGCACGUGGGGGGCUUGGAAGGCCCCACUGCAUUACCAUGCCAGCUAUCACACACCCCGUGCCAGAGGACUGCAUGUGACACGGCUUGAUUACGUGGCACUCGCUGCUGCAAAGCAAAGUCAGAUGUCAUCAUGGAAACUCAAACACCAGUCUUUUUCUCUGAAUUGGAAUAUAGCUGUAAGAAUGUGGCAUGAUUCUGUUCCUAAAUGUGAAUUGAUUAUUAUGUUGAAACAGGUAAAAACCCCAAAAUUUUCUUGUCACGUGUUCCUGUGUCUCUUUCGAAGUGUGUCACCUUAGGUCACUGUGUGGACACAGCAAGGGUGGAGGACGCUAACUUGGCCUUUGCAGUGAUGGUUGGGUGGGACAGGUGUUCUGGGGCACGAGGGGCCCCUGAGAAGCCCCUGCCUGGGUGUGUUUCUUCUGAUUCUGUCCCUCACGUCUCUGUUUUCUCCCUUUUCUGUGCUCCAGAGCAGCCAUCAGCAGGGACCCUUUCUACGAAAUGCUCGCAGCACGGAAAAAGAAGGUCUCCUCCACAAAGCGACACUGAGCGUGCAGCCAAGGGCGUUGGUCUGUGGGGGCCUUGGAGCUCCUGCUCUUCUCCCGCACCUCCACGGAUGCCCUGCUGCCGAGCAGAGCGUCCUCUGCCAGGCCCCGCCCUGGAUUCCUAGAGACUAGCUUCAGCUUUUGCUAUUUUUUUUAAGUGGGAGAAGGGUGGGCAGUUAUCACUGGGGAAGAGAGGACCGGCCACCUGUCCAGCAUGGGCUCCAGAGCCUUCCUCUCUCACAGGGCAGAGCUCUUGUCGGCAGGGCAGCCUCCUAGCCAGUUUCUCUGCUCAGUGUUCUGGUAGCAGAGCUCAGAGCCAACUGUUUACCUCUUGGUUGUCCCCGUGAAGAAGCCUUCAAACCCUGCACCAUAAAUACAUGUGUCCAUAUAUUAUUAUAUGUUAAGAGAAAAAGGUGGAAAGGAAGAGAAGCCACAUACUAUAAAGAUCUAUUUUUUUUUUUUAAGAGAGAACGUAGUGCUGUUCAGGUGCAUUCUGCCCUGGCUGCGCUGGGGAGCUUCUCCCUGGAGAAGAGCACCUGGGGCUGCGGCCAAGGGGCAUCAGCCUGGGCCCGCGGCAGGGCCUGGCCUGCCUCUCCUGUGCUGUGGGAGCUCGCUGCCUGGUGCUUGUCUGGGCGAGAUGGACAGGUGUGGUCGAGGACGCAGAGGGCAGAGGCCCAGUGGGGCCUCAGACGGCACAGUCAGAGUCGGGGGCCUGCCCUGGCCGGGGGCGCAGUCGGCAGCAGCGUGCAGUCCGGCAGCUCCCGCGGAUGCUUUUCCAUCCCAAGUGCCUGCGGAGCGCCGAGGAGAGGAGAGAGCUGACUGGACGCUUACGUUAUUUUCCUCCUUCAGAAUCCAAGUUCUUGUUGGGCUUUAAAGUAGAAAGUCAGCAUUUUCCUUGAGCUAAAUACCUAAUAACCAAAACUGUGAGGAAGGUUAUCGGGACAGAGGUUCCGGAUAACCUGUUUCAUUUUGGGUUUUCUUCCUCUUCCCCAGACUCCAGUCCUCGUUCUAGAGGAAGGAGUAGGACUUCCCCGAUCCCCGUAGGGCUUCAGCUUUUUCUGCCUCAAAACCAGCCCUAACUGGACUACUCUGGAUGCAUUUUGUGGUGGGCCCCCUAGAGGGGAAGAUGGGCCUUUAUCUGCUCCGUGGGGUGCACUGGAGUGACGGGGGUGGCCGGGCUGCCUCUUGCAUCUCUGUCUUCCCCUGCAGGUGCUGUGUGAGCUGGCCCUGCCCCUCCUCAUUACAGUAUGAAGGGAGCCGUGACACGCAGCAUUUUCCUGCCGUUCUCUCAGGGACUCUCAGGGCAGCUCCUGCCACUCCGCCAGGGCCAGCAUGCCAGUCCAGGCAGAGCAGGUGGCUGGCUGUCUGGCCGUCUCGCCCCGCCCCUCCACAGGACCCUGGACCAGGGCGGUGCAGGGCGCAGCCCCGAGGAGGCAGGUGGAGGAGCUGCGGGUUUUCACAGGGCCGCGUCGCCACGGCUCCUCUGAUCCUUUAGGGUUGGCGAGCAUCUCUGGAAAUAGCUUUUGCAGAGGAAUGGUGGGAGGAAUAGAGGGGGACAGUCUGUCACCUCCCUCCCCGCCACUUUGUGUAGAUCCUACCUGGAGGGAAUGGCUUUAGGCACUUUUGUGCCAGAGCUUGUGAGGGUGACAGAAGAGGGUCCAGGCUGGAAACCUGAACUUUCUGGGUGGGAGAACCAGGUGGUGCCUGCCGAGGUCUGGGCGUGUUUGGGCUGGCGCUGGAGCCUGUCCAGCUGGCCCGGGCCCUGGCCUGGUUCUCAAGUGUUUCCUAGACAGAGAGGCACCUGGGUCAGUAUUAGUCUAUUUAUCAGAGGUGUAAAUAAUCUAUGUAUAGUUUUUCUCCUUUUAGAUUAUUUUGUAUUUGUUUAAAAGAAGUUUUGUCAAAACACAAAAAUAUAAAGAAAUGACUGAAAGUUGUUGACAGGGUUUUUAAGAAAUAAUUAUUCUAAUUGUUUUUGUUUGUUUGUUUUUGCCUUGUAAACUAGCGCCAAGGAACUGCAGCAAAUAAACUCCAACUCUGCCCAA
RNA transcript from Pan troglodytes (chimpanzee), 4326 nucleotides. It is a transcript of the gene named cytohesin 1, with no coding region annotated. The record is from RefSeq and is a predicted model, not a curated record. The transcript has 13 exons. NCBI's taxonomy places the organism in Eukaryota, Metazoa, Chordata, Mammalia, Primates, Hominidae.